Molecule: ribosomal RNA, 253 nt
Filed under: uncultured bacterium
Lineage: Bacteria
Description: partial 16S ribosomal RNA
Rfam family: Bacterial small subunit ribosomal RNA
Source: RNAcentral
UACGUAGGGUGCAAGCGUUGUCCGGAAUUAUUGGGCGUAAAGAGCUCGUAGGCGGCCUGUCGCGUCGGCUGUGAAAACCCGGGGCUCAACCCCGGGCCUGCAGUCGAUACGGGCAGGCUAGAGUCCGGCAGGGGAGACUGGAAUUCCUGGUGUAGCGGUGAAAUGCGCAGAUAUCAGGAGGAACACCGGUGGCGAAGGCGGGUCUCUGGGCCGGAACUGACGCUGAGGAGCGAAAGCGUGGGGAGCGAACAGG